GAUGAAGAACGCAGCGAAAUGCGAUACGUAAUGUGAAUUGCAGAAUUCAGUGAAUCAUCGAAUCUUUGAACGCAUAUUGCGCUCUCUGGUAUUCCGGAGAGCAUGCUUGUUUGAGUAUCAGUAAACACCUCAACUUCCAUAUCUUUUUUUGAAAUGGGAGUUGGACUUGAGUGAUCCCAACGCUUUUCCUCACCGAAAAGUGGCGGGUUACUUGAAAUGCAGGUGCAGCUGGACAUUUCUCUGAGCUAUAAGCAUAUCUAUUUAGUCUGCCUAAAAAACAGAUUAUUACCUUUGCUGCAGCUAACAUAAAGGAGAUUAGUUCUUGUGCUGACUGAUGCAGGAUUCACAAAGACAGCUUCGGCCGACUUUGUAAACUCGAUCUCAAAUCAAGUAAGACUACCCGCUGAACUUAAGCAUAUCAAUAAGCGGAGGA
RNAcentral lists this unclassified non-coding RNA (433 nucleotides) under soil metagenome. RNAcentral describes it as "partial contains 5.8S ribosomal RNA, internal transcribed spacer 2, and large subunit ribosomal RNA". The stretch from base 1 to 120 matches the Rfam family "5.8S ribosomal RNA", at positions 35 to 154 of the family's 154-position model. The record is from RNAcentral.